This 275-nucleotide ribosomal RNA is filed under the name uncultured prokaryote. Its description in RNAcentral is "partial 16S ribosomal RNA". It matches the Rfam family "Bacterial small subunit ribosomal RNA", at positions 524 to 798 of the family's 1533-position model. The record is from RNAcentral.
UACGGAGGAUCCGAGCGUUAUCCGGAUUUAUUGGGUUUAAAGGGUGCGCAGGCGGGAGAUUAAGUCGGCGGUGAAAUUUUGCAGCUUAACUGUAAAAGUGCCUUCGAAACUGGUUUCCUUGAGUGUAGAUGAAGUAGGCGGAAUUUGUGGUGUAGCGGUGAAAUGCAUAGAUAUCACGAGGAACUCCGAUUGCGCAGGCAGCCUACUAAACUACUACUGACGCUCAGGCACGAAGGCGUGGGGAUCAAACAGGAUUAGAUACCCCCGUAGUCCCU